RNAcentral lists this long non-coding RNA (326 nucleotides) under Triticum aestivum (bread wheat). Its description in RNAcentral is "long non-coding RNA (TAES_LNC020162)". Lineage: Eukaryota; Viridiplantae; Streptophyta; Magnoliopsida; Poales; Poaceae. The record is from RNAcentral.
UUUUGAGGAGUUUCUGACACAGAACCCUGGCCCCUCGCCGGUUAGUACAUCUCAAACUAUUCACCCAAAGUAUACUGUUUAUUCAACACAAUCAUAUAUCCCCUUAACAUGUCUUUUCAACAUCCAGGGAACCGGUGGAUCUACCGUUGGUGGUGGUGCUGGUCUUGGCAUCACUCCCGAGUCACGGAGCCCGGUCACUCCUAUCCACGGAGGCGGUGGCGGUCUUGGCGGUAGCGCUGCCGCUAGCAGUGAUGACCUAGGCUUCGGCGGACUUGGCGGUGACGACCUUGGCGGUGGUGGUGGAUGUCCUGGUGCUUAAGCCUUUG